Long non-coding RNA from Haliotis rufescens (red abalone), 682 nucleotides. RefSeq lists it as uncharacterized. NCBI's taxonomy places the organism in Eukaryota, Metazoa, Mollusca, Gastropoda, Lepetellida, Haliotidae. The record is from RefSeq and is a predicted model, not a curated record. The transcript is spliced from 3 exons.
UUUCCGUAACUGCUGCAGAAAUGACCGCUCGUCAUUUGUGACCAACUCGUGUUAUUCCGGGACAAGCAAGUCUACCCAUAAUUCCCUGUAUGACCGAGGGCGCCAUUUUGGAACACAAAUGUAAACAAACACUUAAACCUCGUGUAAUCGAUGUACACCGUGAUGCUUGAUUGCGAUAUGCUUACCUCGUGUAUCAAUACAUUGUUCUCAAUCACCUCUAACACGGAAAUCCCGGUCGAAAUCCACCUGAGCCAUCCACAACGAGGACGUCAAGUAUUUCGAAAACUCGAUUGGCAGCCGAAGGAAGGAAGAGCAGCUUGCAGAUGCCAGCAUGUUCAGGGUUUGUGGGGAGGUUCACAGACAUCCUCAGGGAGGAUACCAAGUAUUGAAAUGUCCGGAUGAAUAAAAGAGACAGUCAUCUGUGCAGCAUCAAUGCAAAGAAAGACCAUAGAAGAGCAACAGUGAGUGGUAAAUAUUUUGAAAUUCUGUUUGGUUCAUAUGGUUUUUUUGCAAAUAUGUCUUCAGUUUGUUCCUUAUCGCUGUGGGCACGGAUGUCCUAUUAUCUAAGGCACUACAAUUUUCUGUGCAGAGUUGCAUCUCUUGGGCUUAGCAGAAACCUAUAGUCAUGGGUUCAAAUCCUGGUUCUCCCCGAUUAUGUUGCUAGGUUUGUCAGCAUUAUACA